This 419-nucleotide ribosomal RNA is filed under the name bacterium. RNAcentral describes it as "partial 16S ribosomal RNA". It matches the Rfam family "Bacterial small subunit ribosomal RNA", at positions 355 to 776 of the family's 1533-position model. The record is from RNAcentral.
UGGGGGAUAUUGCACAAUGGGCGAAAGCCUGAUGCAGCGACGCCGCGUGGGGGAUGAAGGCCUUCGGGUUGUAAACUUCUUUUGCUCUGAACAAGGCGCACCAUGGGGUGUGUUGAGUGUAGGGGUUGAUUAGCGCCGGCUAACUACGUGCCAGCAGCCGCGGUAAUACGUAGGGCGCGAGCGUUGUCCGGAAUUAUUGGGCGUAAAGGGCUUGUAGGUGGCUGGUUGCGUCUGUCGUGAAAGCUCAUGGCUUAACUGUGGGUUUGAGGUGGGUACGGGCUGGCUUGAGUGCAGUAGGGGAGGCUGGAAUUCCUGGUGUAGCGGUGGAAUGCGCAGAUAUCAGGAGGAAUACCGGUGGCGAAGGCGGGUCUCUGGGCUGUUACUGACACUGAGGAGCGACAGCAUGGGGAGCGAACAGG